GUCGGGAAUAUUGGGCAAUGGGCGAAAGCCUGACCCAGCGACGCCGCGUGAGGGAAGAAGGCCUUCGGGUCGUAAACCUCUGUCAUCGGGGACGAAGGAAGUGACGGUACCCGAGGAGGAAGCCCCUGCUAACUACGUGCCAGCAGCCGCGGUAAUACGUAGGGGGCGAGCGUUGUCCGGAGUUAUUGGGCGUAAAGGGCGUGUAGGCGGCCUGUUAAGUCAGGUGUGAAAUUUCAGGGCUUAACCCUGAACCUGCGCUUGAAACUGGCAGGCUAGAGGACAGGAGAGGGAAGUGGAAUUCCCGGUGUAGCGGUGGAAUGCGUAGAUAUCGGGAGGAACACCAGUGGCGAAGGCGGCUUCCUGGACUGUACCUGACGCUGAGGCGCGAAAGCUAGGGGAGCAAACAGGAUUAGAAACCCUAGUAGUCC
RNAcentral lists this ribosomal RNA (428 nucleotides) under uncultured bacterium. RNAcentral describes it as "bacterial SSU rRNA". It matches the Rfam family "Bacterial small subunit ribosomal RNA", at positions 354 to 796 of the family's 1533-position model. The record is from RNAcentral.